UGACCGCUGGCGGCGUGCUUAACACAUGCAAAUCGAACGGAAAGGCUCCUGCUUGCAGGGGUACUCGAGUGGCGAACGGGUGAGUAACACGUGGGUGAUCUGCCCUGCACUUCGGGAUAAGCCUGGGAAACUGGGUCUAAUACCGGAUAGGACGAUGGUUUGGAUGCCAUUGUGGAAAGUUUUUCGGUGUGGGAUGAGCUCGCGGCCUAUCAGCUUGUUGGUGGGGUAAUGGCCUACCAAGGCGUCGACGGGUAGCCGGCCUGAGAGGGUGUACGGCCACAUUGGGACUGAGAUACGGCCCAGACUCCUACGGGAGGCAGCAGUGGGGAAUAUUGCACAAUGGGCGCAAGCCUGAUGCAGCGACGCCGCGUGGGGGAUGACGGCCUUCGGGUUGUAAACUCCUUUCGCUAGGGACGAAGCGUUUUGUGACGGUACCUGGAGAAGAAGCACCGGCUAACUACGUG
This 464-nucleotide ribosomal RNA is filed under the name uncultured bacterium. RNAcentral describes it as "partial 16S ribosomal RNA". It matches the Rfam family "Bacterial small subunit ribosomal RNA", at positions 30 to 507 of the family's 1533-position model. The record is from RNAcentral.